CAAGCUAAAGCUUUGAAAGAAGCGUUUUAGUUACAUUAAAGAGAUUGUUUUAUAAAUAUAGUUUGA
This 66-nucleotide transfer RNA is filed under the name Cyclorhipidion bodoanum. RNAcentral describes it as "tRNA-Val". The record is from RNAcentral. Lineage: Eukaryota; Metazoa; Arthropoda; Insecta; Coleoptera; Curculionidae.